CAAAAAGCGGCCCAGCUCCCCGGCACGGGCCCGCCGUCAGCACGUCACGUCACCGCCCGGGAGAGAGACCCAGGAAAAUGCGGAAGGGUAGAUAGGCCCCCUCCUCCGCCCGAAAGUUCCAUUGGGCUGUGAUGUAGACUGUAUUCACAGAAAGAGAAAGAUUAGUCCGAAAACAAGCUGUUAAAAACAAAAAGGAAGAAAAGAAAACGGAAGAAGAAGAAAAGAAAAGAAACUGUUGAUUUUUCACUCCACAUCACUGACUGAUGGAAAUCCAAAUAGGAAACAAUAAAUUAUUGGCUUAUGAGAAAA
Long non-coding RNA from Equus caballus (horse), 309 nucleotides. RefSeq lists it as uncharacterized. Lineage: Eukaryota; Metazoa; Chordata; Mammalia; Perissodactyla; Equidae. The record is from RefSeq and is a predicted model, not a curated record.